RNAcentral lists this ribosomal RNA (452 nucleotides) under uncultured bacterium. RNAcentral's name for it is "bacterial SSU rRNA". It matches the Rfam family "Bacterial small subunit ribosomal RNA", at positions 340 to 785 of the family's 1533-position model. The record is from RNAcentral.
UACGGAAGGCAGCAGUGGGGAAUAUUGCACAAUGGGCGCAAGCCUGAUGCAGCCAUGCCGCGUGUAUGAAGAAGGCCUUCGGGUUGUAAAGUACUUUCAGUCGUGAGGAAGGUGUUAAGGUUAAUAACCUUAGCAAUUGACGUUAGCGACAGAAGAAGCACCGGCUAACUCCGUGCCAGCAGCCGCGGUAAUACGGAGGGUGCGAGCGUUAAUCGGAAUUACUGGGCGUAAAGGGCACGCAGGCGGUUAAUUAAGUUGGAUGUGAAAUCCCCGGGCUUAACCUGGGAAUGGCAUUCAAGACUGGUUAGCUAGAGUCUUGUAGAGGGGGUAGAAUUCCAUGUGUAGCGGUGAAAUGCGUAGAGAUGUGGAGGAAUACCGGUGGCGAAGGCGGCCCCUGGACAAAGGCUGACGCUCAUGUGCGAAAGCGUGGGGAGCAAACAGGGAUUAGAUAC